GGUUAAGUUAGAAAGGGCGCACGGUGGAUGCCUUGGCACUAGGAGCCGAUGAAGGACGGGACGAACACCGAUAUGCUUCGGGGAGCUGUAAGCAAGCUUUGAUCCGGAGAUUUCCGAAUGGGGAAACCCACCACUCGUAAUGGAGUGGUAUCCAUAUCUGAAUACAUAGGAUAUGAGAAGGCAGACCCGGGGAACUGAAACAUCUAAGUACCCGGAGGAAGAGAAAGCAAAUGCGAUUCCCUGAGUAGCGGCGAGCGAAACGGGACCAGCCCAAACCAAGAGGCUUGCCUCUUGGGGUUGUAGGACACUCUGUACGGAGUUACAAAGGAACGAGGUAGAUGAAGAGGUCUGGAAAGGCCCGCCAUAGAAGGUAACAGCCCUGUAGUCAAAACUUCGUUCUCUCCUGAGUGGAUCCUGAGUACGGCGGAACACGUGAAAUUCCGUCGGAAUCCGGGAGGACCAUCUCCCAAGGCUAAAUACUCCCUAGUGACCGAUAGUGAACCAGUACCGUGAGGGAAAGGUGAAAAGCACCCCGGAAGGGGAGUGAAAGAGAUCCUGAAACCGUGUGCUUACAAGUAGUCAGAGCCCGUUAACGGGUGAUGGCGUGCCUUUUGUAGAAUGAACCGGCGAGUUACGAUCCCGUGCAAGGUUAAGCAGAAGAUGCGGAGCCGCAGCGAAAGCGAGUCUGAAUAGGGCGAAUUGAGUACGUGGUCGUAGACCCGAAACCAGGUGAUCUACCCAUGUCCAGGGUGAAGUUCAGGUAACACUGAAUGGAGGCCCGAACCCACGCACGUUGAAAAGUGCGGGGAUGAGGUGUGGGUAGGGGUGAAAUGCCAAUCGAACCUGGAGAUAGCUGGUUCUCUCCGAAAUAGCUUUAGGGCUAGCCUCAAGGUAAGAGUCUCGGAGGUAGAGCACUGAUUGGACUAGGGGCCCCUACCGGGUUACCGAAUUCAGUCAAACUCCGAAUGCCGAUGACUUAUCCUUGGGAGUCAGACUGCGAGUGAUAAGAUCCGUAGUCGAAAGGGAAACAGCCCAGACCGCCAGCUAAGGUCCCAAAGUAUACGUUAAGUGGAAAAGGAUGUGGAGUUGCUUAGACAACCAGGAUGUUGGCUUAGAAGCAGCCACCAUUUAAAGAGUGCGUAAUAGCUCACUGGUCGAGUGACUCUGCGCCGAAAAUGUACCGGGGCUAAACGUAUCACCGAAGCUGCGGACUGUUCUUCGAACAGUGGUAGGAGAGCGUUCUAAGGGCUGUGAAGCAAGACCGGAAGGACUUGUGGAGCGCUUAGAAGUGAGAAUGCCGGUAUGAGUAGCGAAAGAGGGGUGAGAAUCCCCUCCACCGAAUGCCUAAGGUUUCCUGAGGAAGGCUCGUCCGCUCAGGGUUAGUCGGGACCUAAGCCGAGGCCGAAAGGCGUAGGCGAUGGAUAACAGGUUGAUAUUCCUGUACCACCUCCUCACCAUUUGAGCAAUGGGGGGACGCAGGAGGAUAGGGUAAGCGCGGUAUUGGAUAUCCGCGUCCAAGCAGUUAGGCUGGGAAAUAGGCAAAUCCGUUUCCCGUGAAGGCUGAGCUGUGAUGGCGAGCGAAUUAUAGUAGCGAAGUUCCUGAUUCCACACUGCCAAGAAAAGCCUCUAGCGAGGUGAGAGGUGCCCGUACCGCAAACCGACACAGGUAGGCGAGGAGAGAAUCCUAAGGUGAUCGAGAGAACUCUCGUUAAGGAACUCGGCAAAAUGACCCCGUAACUUCGGGAGAAGGGGUGCUCUGUUAGGGUGCAAGCCCGAGAGAGCCGCAGUGAAUAGGCCCAGGCGACUGUUUAGCAAAAACACAGGUCUCUGCGAAGCCGUAAGGCGAAGUAUAGGGGCUGACGCCUGCCCGGUGCUGGAAGGUUAAGAGGAGCGCUUAGCGUAAGCGAAGGUGCGAAUUGAAGCCCCAGUAAACGGCGGCCGUAACUAUAACGGUCCUAAGGUAGCGAAAUUCCUUGUCGGGUAAGUUCCGACCCGCACGAAAGGCGCAACGAUCUGGGCACUGUCUCAACGAGAGACUCGGUGAAAUUAUAGUACCUGUGAAGAUGCAGGUUACCCGCGACAGGACGGAAAGACCCCGUGGAGCUUUACUGCAGCCUGAUAUUGAAUGUUGGUACAGCUUGUACAGGAUAGGUAGGAGCCUUGGAAACCGGAGCGCCAGCUUCGGUGGAGGCAUCGGUGGGAUACUACCCUGGCUGUAUUGACCUUCUAACCCGCCGCCCUUAUCGGGCGGGGAGACAGUGUCAGGUGGGCAGUUUGACUGGGGCGGUCGCCUCCUAAAAGGUAACGGAGGCGCCCAAAGGUUCCCUCAGAAUGGUUGGAAAUCAUUCGCAGAGUGUAAAGGCACAAGGGAGCUUGACUGCGAGACCUACAAGUCGAGCAGGGACGAAAGUCGGGCUUAGUGAUCCGGUGGUUCCGCAUGGAAGGGCCAUCGCUCAACGGAUAAAAGCUACCCCGGGGAUAACAGGCUUAUCUCCCCCAAGAGUCCACAUCGACGGGGAGGUUUGGCACCUCGAUGUCGGCUCAUCGCAUCCUGGGGCUGUAGUCGGUCCCAAGGGUUGGGCUGUUCGCCCAUUAAAGCGGUACGCGAGCUGGGUUCAGAACGUCGUGAGACAGUUCGGUCCCUAUCCGUCGCGGGCGCAGGAAAUUUGAGAGGAGCUGUCCUUAGUACGAGAGGACCGGGAUGGACGCACCGCUGGUGUACCAGUUGUUCUGCCAAGGGCAUCGCUGGGUAGCUAUGUGCGGACGGGAUAAGUGCUGAAAGCAUCUAAGCAUGAAGCCCCCUCAAGAUGAGAUUUCCCAUUCCGCAAGGAAGUAAGAUCCCUGAAAGAUGAUCAGGUUGAUAGGUCUGAGGUGGAAGUGUGGCGACACAUGGAGCUGACAGAUACUAAUCGAUCGAGGACUUAACCAA
This 2929-nucleotide ribosomal RNA is filed under the name Bacillus velezensis. Its description in RNAcentral is "23S ribosomal RNA". It matches the Rfam family "Bacterial large subunit ribosomal RNA". Lineage: Bacteria; Bacillati; Bacillota; Bacilli; Caryophanales; Bacillaceae. The record is from RNAcentral.